Molecule: transfer RNA, 85 nt
Filed under: Spirochaetota bacterium
Lineage: Bacteria; Pseudomonadati; Spirochaetota
Description: Spirochaetes bacterium tRNA-Leu
Rfam family: tRNA
About the family: Transfer RNA (tRNA) molecules are approximately 80 nucleotides in length. Their secondary structure includes four short double-helical elements and three loops (D, anti-codon, and T loops).
Source: RNAcentral
GCCGGCGUGACGAAAUUGGUAGACGUGCCAGACUCAAAAUCUGGUGGGUGUUAAACCCGUAAGGGUUCGAGUCCCUUCGCCGGCA